UUUUUUAGCACUUUGUCAAAAGCAGGCUCCGAAUUCGCCCUUAGAGUUUGAUCCUGGCUCAGAUUGAACGCUGGCGGUAUGCUUAACACAUGCAAGUCGAGCGGCAGCACAGACUGUAGCAAUACAGUUGGGUGGCGAGUGGCGGACGGGUGAGUAAUACGCGGGAAUCUGUCUUAGAGUGGGGGAUAACUCGAGGAAACUCGAGCUAAUACCGCAUAUCUAGUUUACUAGAAAGGGGGCCUCUGCUUGCAAGCUCUCGCUCUAAGGUGAGCCCGCGUCCGAUUAGCUAGUUGGUAGGGUAAAGGCCUACCAAGGCAAUGAUCGGUAGCUGUUCUGAGAGGAAGAUCAGCCACACUGGGACUGAGACGCGGCCCAGACUCCUACGGGAGGCAGCAGUGGGGAAUAUUGGACAAUGGGGGAAACCCUGAUCCAACAAUACCGCGUGUGUGAAGAAAGCCUGCGGGUUGUAAAGCACUUUUGUUGGGGAGGAAAAGUUAAAAGCUAAUACCUUUUAUCCGGGACGCUACCCAAAGAAAAAGCACCGGCUAAUUCUGGGCCAGCAGCCGCGGUAAUACUGAAGGGGGAAGCGUUUAUCCGGACUUACUGGGUCGUAAGGGGCCGGUUGGGGGUUUCUUAAUUUAAAUGUGUAAACCCUGGGGCUUCCACUUGGGAAACGCUUCAAAACCUGGGGUGAAAUAAAUAAUGGUAGAAGGCAACGGAAUUUCUCAGGAAACCGGGCAAAGCGUUAAAUUUUUUAAAGAACCUCCUCUGGGGAAGGGGAAUUCCCUGGACACUUU
This 797-nucleotide ribosomal RNA is filed under the name uncultured Bacteroidota bacterium. Its description in RNAcentral is "bacterial SSU rRNA". It matches the Rfam family "Bacterial small subunit ribosomal RNA", at positions 1 to 739 of the family's 1533-position model. The record is from RNAcentral. Lineage: Bacteria; Pseudomonadati; Bacteroidota.